Molecule: ribosomal RNA, 281 nt
Filed under: uncultured cyanobacterium
Lineage: Bacteria; Bacillati; Cyanobacteriota
Description: partial 16S ribosomal RNA
Rfam family: Bacterial small subunit ribosomal RNA
Source: RNAcentral
CGGUAAUANCGGAGGAUGCAAGCGUUAUCCGGAAUGAUUGGGCGUAAAGGGUCUUGAGGUGGCUAGUCAAGUCUACUGUGAAAGAUCGGGGCUUAANCCCCGAAGAAGCGGUGGAAACUAANCAAGCUUGAGUACGGUAGGGGCGGAGGGAAUUCUCUAUGGAGCGGUGAAAUGCAUAGAUAUAGGGAAGAACACCAACGGCGAAAGCACUCCGCUGGGCCGAUACUGACACUAACAGACGAGAGCUAGGGGAGCGAAUGGGAUUAGAUACCCCAGUAGUC